AUUGAACGCUGGCGGCAGGCCUAACACAUGCAAGUCGAGCGGAUGACGGGAGCUUGCUCCUUGAUUCAGCGGCGGACGGGUGAGUAAUGCCUAGGAAUCUGCCUGGUAGCGGGGGACAACGUUUCGAAAGGAACGCUAAUACCGCAUACGUCCUACGGGAGAAAGCAGGGGACCGUCGGGCCUUGCGCUAUCAGAUGAGACUAGGUCGGAUUAGCUAGUUGGUGGGGUAAUGGCUCACGAAGGCGGCGAUCCGUAACUGGUCAGAGAGGAUGAUCAGUCACACUGGAACUGAGACACGGUCCAGACGCCUACGGGAGGAAGCAGUGGGGAAUAUUGGACAAUGGGCGAAAGCCUGAUCCAGCCAUGCCGCGUGUGUGAAGAAGGUCUUCGGAUUGUAAAGCACUUUAAGUUGGGAGGAAGGGCAGUAAGCUAAUACCUUGCUGUUUUGACGUUACCGACAGAAUAAGCACCGGCUAACUCUGUGCCAGCAGCCGCCGCAG
RNAcentral lists this ribosomal RNA (500 nucleotides) under uncultured bacterium. Its description in RNAcentral is "partial 16S ribosomal RNA". It matches the Rfam family "Bacterial small subunit ribosomal RNA", at positions 30 to 523 of the family's 1533-position model. The record is from RNAcentral.